AUUGAACGCUGGCGGCAUGCCUUACACAUGCAAGUCGAACGGCAGCACGGGAGCAAUCCUGGUGGCGAGUGGCGAACGGGUGAGUAAUAUAUCGGAACGUGCCCAGUCGUGGGGGAUGACGCAGCGAAAGCUGUGCUAAUACCGCAUACGAUCUAAGGAUGAAAGCGGGGGAUCGCAAGACCUCGCGCGAUUGGAGCGGCCGAUAUCAGAUUAGCUAGUUGGUGGGGUAAGGGCCCACCAAGGCGACGAUCUGUAGCUGGUCUGAGAGGACGACCAGCCACACUGGAACUGAGACACAGUCCAGACUCCUACGGGAGGCAGCAGUGGGGAAUUUUGGACAAUGGGCGCAAGCCUGAUCCAGCAAUGCCGCGUGCAGGAUGAAGGCCUUCGGGUUGUAAACUGCUUUUGUACGGAACGAAACGGCCCUUUCUAAUACAGGGGGCUAAUGACGGUACCGUAAGAAUAAGCCCCGGCUAACUUCGUGCCAGCCGCCGCAGUAA
This 500-nucleotide ribosomal RNA is filed under the name uncultured bacterium. Its description in RNAcentral is "partial 16S ribosomal RNA". It matches the Rfam family "Bacterial small subunit ribosomal RNA", at positions 30 to 523 of the family's 1533-position model. The record is from RNAcentral.